AAGACAUAAUUGAGUCAUACUAUAAUUUCAAUAAUAAAUGAACUACCAGUGGUAUGCCAUGUGCUAAUGGCAGAAAAUAUACUAGACAUAAUACUCUAUAAAAAGUGGGGUAUUGGCCUUUGGAGCAACUAAUAUAUGUAGUGUUAUAAGGCCACUUGUCCCUGAUAUUUGAGAUGCAGUUCAAGGAUGAGCUAGGUCACUGUGUUAUAGUACACAUCAACUAAAUGUAUAUGUCAGUAGAGAGUGGUGAGAUCAAUUUGUUCUAUAGAUGAAUGAAUGAUCACGAACUUAAAAACAAGAGCAUUAAUUUAAAUGGAAAAGAACAUGUUCAUUUGGUAGCUAGAAUGGACA
Molecule: long non-coding RNA, 351 nt
Filed under: Oryza brachyantha (malo sina)
Lineage: Eukaryota; Viridiplantae; Streptophyta; Magnoliopsida; Poales; Poaceae
Description: long non-coding RNA (OBRA_LNC003209)
Source: RNAcentral